AUACGGAGGAUCCGAGCGUUAUCCGGAUUUAUUGGGUUUAAAGGGUGCGCAGGCGGCCAUUUAAGUCAGCGGUUAAAUCGUGGGGCUCAACCCCAUUCUGCCGUUGAUACUGGGUGGCUUGAUUGCGGUCGAGGUUGGCGGAAUUCGUUGUGUAGCGGUGAAAUGCAUAGAUAUGACGAAGAACACCGAUUGCGUAGGCAGCUGACCAGACCGCAAAUGACGCUCAUGCACGAAAGUGCGGGGAUCGAACAGGAUUAGAUACCCUGGUAGUCCGCACAGUAAACGAUGAAUGCUUGUUUACGGCGAUAUAAUGUCGGAGGCAAAGCGAAAGCGAUAAGUAUUCCACCUGGGGAGUACGCCGGCAACGGUGAAACUCAAAGGAAUUGACGGGG
This 392-nucleotide ribosomal RNA is filed under the name uncultured bacterium. RNAcentral describes it as "partial 16S ribosomal RNA". It matches the Rfam family "Bacterial small subunit ribosomal RNA", at positions 523 to 918 of the family's 1533-position model. The record is from RNAcentral.